AGUGUCAGGUUAGGCUUUAGGGUUUAGAUUAAUUAGUGUGUUUUAAUUUAUAUUAAAUAAGAUUUAGGGGUUAGGGGUUAGGGAUUCAGGUUAGGGUUUAGGGUUUAGGUUAAUUAGUGUUUUUAAAUUUAUAUAUUAAAUAAGGUUUAGGGGUUAGUAGUUAGGGGUUAGGGAUUUGGGGUUAUGGGUUAGAGGUUAAGAGUUAGUGAUUUAAGGUUUAGAGACUCGAGGUCAGGUUAGGGUUUAAGGUUUAGAUUAAUUAGUAUUUUUUAAUUUAUGUAUUAAUUAAGUUCUUAUAUAAUUGUAAAAGAGGGGUUAGGGGUUAGAGGUUAAGAAUUAGGGAUUAGGGGUUAGGGGUUAUGGAUAGGUAACUAUCUAUUUUGGAUAGGACCAAAU
Molecule: long non-coding RNA, 396 nt
Filed under: Gossypium raimondii (Peruvian cotton)
Lineage: Eukaryota; Viridiplantae; Streptophyta; Magnoliopsida; Malvales; Malvaceae
Description: long non-coding RNA (GRAI_LNC008426)
Source: RNAcentral